GGUUGGUGAGCAUCAUGGCAACCGUUUAUUUCACACGGGCUGUGUCUCAGUGUAAAUGCUGAAUAAAUUAUCACUUGAAUAUUUGAAUGAAUGAAUACAUGUGAAUGAAGGAGAGGCCAGGAAACUAGGCCUGGCACCUGCUCAAUUACCUGAAUAAAGAAGUGAUUUUGGCUUGGCGUGGUGGCUCAUGCCUGUAAUCCCAGCACUUUGGGAGACCGAGGUGGGCGGAUCACUUCAGGUUAGGAGUUCUUGGCCAACAUGGCGAAACCCCAUCUCUAUUAAAAAUACAAAAAUUAGCCAGGUGUGGUGAUGCAGGCCUUGUAAUCCCAGCUAGUCAGAAGGCUGAGGCAGGAGAAUCGCUUGAACCUGGGAGGCAGAAGUUGCAGUGAGCCAAGAUCGCGCCACUGCAUUCCAGCCUGGGCGACAAAGCGAGACUCUGUCUCCAAAAAAAAAAAAAAAAGCCACAACCAAAGUCCCGGAGAUCCGUGAUGUGACAAGGAUUG
RNAcentral lists this small RNA (503 nucleotides) under Pongo abelii (Sumatran orangutan). Its description in RNAcentral is "processed transcript". The record is from RNAcentral. Lineage: Eukaryota; Metazoa; Chordata; Mammalia; Primates; Hominidae.